GGAGUUUUAGCUCAGUGAUAGAGUGCUUGCCUUGUAUGUGUGAGGCGCUGGGUUCAAUUCCCAGCACCA
Molecule: transfer RNA, 69 nt
Filed under: Ictidomys tridecemlineatus (thirteen-lined ground squirrel)
Lineage: Eukaryota; Metazoa; Chordata; Mammalia; Rodentia; Sciuridae
Description: Spermophilus tridecemlineatus (thirteen-lined ground squirrel) tRNA
Rfam family: tRNA
About the family: Transfer RNA (tRNA) molecules are approximately 80 nucleotides in length.
Source: Rfam by way of RNAcentral